This 402-nucleotide ribosomal RNA is filed under the name uncultured bacterium. Its description in RNAcentral is "bacterial SSU rRNA". It matches the Rfam family "Bacterial small subunit ribosomal RNA", at positions 355 to 774 of the family's 1533-position model. The record is from RNAcentral.
UCGGGAAUUUUGGGCAAUGGGCGAAAGCCUGACCCAGCAACGCCGCGUGAGGGGUGAAGUAAUUCGGUAUGUAAACCUCGAAAGAAUGGGAAGAAUAAAUGACGGUACCAUUUAUAAGCUCCGGCUAACUACGUGCCAGCAGCCGCGGUAAUACGUAGGGAGCAAGCGUUGUUCGGAUUUACUGGGCGUAAAGGGCGCGUAGGCGGCGCGGUAAGUCACUUGUGAAGUCUCUGAGCUUAACUCAGAACGGCCAAGUGAUACUGCUGUGCUAGAGUGCGGAAGAGGCAACCGGAAUUCUUGGUGUAGCGGUGAAAUGCGUAGAUAUCAAGAGGAACACCUGAGGCGAAGGCGGGUUGCUGGGCCGACACUGACGCUGAUGCGCGAAAGCCAGGGGAGCAAACG